GAUGAACGCUAGCGGCAGGCCUAACACAUGCAAGUCGAGGGAGAAGCCCUUCGGGGCAGAAACCGGCGCACGGGUGCGUAACGCGUAUGCAACCUACCUUUCACAGGGGGAUAGCCCGAAGAAAUUUGGAUUAAUACCCCAUAAUAUUAUUGGAUGGCAUCAUUUGAUAAUUAAAAUUACGAUGGUGAAAGAUGGGCAUGCGUCCUAUUAGCUAGUUGGAGUGGUAACGGCACCCCAAGGCUACGAUAGGUAGGGGUCCUGAGAGGGAGAUCCCCCACACUGGUACUGAGACAGGGACCAGACUCCUACGGGAGGCAGCAGUGAGGAAUAUUGGUCAAUGGUCGGAAGACUGAACCAGCCAUGCCGCGUGCAGGAAGAAUGCCUUAUGGGUUGUAAACUGCUUUUUAUAUGGGAAAGAAAUAAAGGAAGCACGUGUGCUUG
RNAcentral lists this ribosomal RNA (441 nucleotides) under Capnocytophaga granulosa. RNAcentral describes it as "bacterial SSU rRNA". It matches the Rfam family "Bacterial small subunit ribosomal RNA", at positions 28 to 468 of the family's 1533-position model. The record is from RNAcentral. Lineage: Bacteria; Pseudomonadati; Bacteroidota; Flavobacteriia; Flavobacteriales; Flavobacteriaceae.